UACGUAGGGGGCAAGCGUUGUCCGGAUUUAUUGGGCGUAAAGAGCGUGUAGGCGGCCAGAUAGGUCAGCUGUGAAAACUCGAGGCUCAACUUCGAGCUGUCGGUGGAAACUGUCUGGCUAGAGUCCGGAAGAGGAGAAUGGAAUUCCUGGUGUAGCGGUGAAAUGCGCAGAUAUCCGGAGGAACACCAGAGGCGAAGGCGGCCUACUGGGUCAGUACUGACGCUGAGCCGCGAAAGCCAGGGGAGCGAACGGG
This 253-nucleotide ribosomal RNA is filed under the name uncultured bacterium. RNAcentral describes it as "partial 16S ribosomal RNA". It matches the Rfam family "Bacterial small subunit ribosomal RNA", at positions 524 to 776 of the family's 1533-position model. The record is from RNAcentral.